RNAcentral lists this ribosomal RNA (241 nucleotides) under Vibrio splendidus. RNAcentral's name for it is "partial 23S ribosomal RNA". It matches the Rfam family "Bacterial large subunit ribosomal RNA", at positions 1 to 244 of the family's 2925-position model. Lineage: Bacteria; Pseudomonadati; Pseudomonadota; Gammaproteobacteria; Vibrionales; Vibrionaceae. The record is from RNAcentral.
GGUUAAGUGACUAAGCGUACACGGUGGAUGCCUUGGCAGUCAGAGGCGAUGAAAGGCGUAAUAACUUGCGAUAAGCCCAGAUUAGGUAGUAAUAACCUUUUGAGUCUGGGAUUCCUGAAUGGGGAAACCCACUUGCAUAAGCAAGUAUCCUGUUGUGAAUACAUAGCAACAGGAGGCAAACCGGGGGAACUGAAACAUCUAAGUACCCCGAGGAAGAGAAAUCAACCGAGAUUCCGAAAGU